AGGGUUUGACAUCCCGUGCCACGCUCAGAGAUGGGCGGUCCCCGCAAGGGGCGCGGAGACAGGUGCUGCAUGGCUGUCGUCAGCUCGUGUCGUGAGAUGUUGGGUUAAGUCCCGCAACGGGCGCAACCCUCGCCUUUAGUUGCCAUCAUUCAGUUGGGCACUCUAAAGGGACCGCCGGCGACAAGCCGGAGGAAGGUGGGGAUGACGUAGAACGGUUGGUU
RNAcentral lists this unclassified non-coding RNA (221 nucleotides) under uncultured Alphaproteobacteria bacterium. Its description in RNAcentral is "contains 16S-23S intergenic spacer region". It matches the Rfam family "Bacterial small subunit ribosomal RNA", at positions 977 to 1200 of the family's 1533-position model. The record is from RNAcentral. Lineage: Bacteria; Pseudomonadati; Pseudomonadota; Alphaproteobacteria.